RNAcentral lists this transfer RNA (73 nucleotides) under Rhodomelopsis africana. RNAcentral's name for it is "tRNA-Glu". It matches the Rfam family "tRNA". From Rfam's summary of the family: Transfer RNA (tRNA) molecules are approximately 80 nucleotides in length. Their secondary structure includes four short double-helical elements and three loops (D, anti-codon, and T loops). Further hydrogen bonds mediate the characteristic L-shaped molecular structure. tRNAs have two regions of fundamental functional importance: the anti-codon, which is responsible for specific mRNA codon recognition, and the 3' end, to which the tRNAs corresponding amino acid is attached (by aminoacyl-tRNA synthetases). tRNAs cope with the degeneracy of the genetic code in two manners: having more than one tRNA (with a specific anti-codon) for a particular amino acid; and 'wobble' base-pairing, i.e. permitting non-standard base-pairing at the 3rd anti-codon position. The record is from RNAcentral. Lineage: Eukaryota; Rhodophyta; Florideophyceae; Ceramiales; Rhodomelaceae.
GCUUCCAUCGUUUAAUUAGGCAAGACACUGUUUUUUCAUGACAGUAAUGUGAGUUCAAUUCUCAUUGGAAGUA